Molecule: ribosomal RNA, 446 nt
Filed under: uncultured bacterium
Lineage: Bacteria
Description: bacterial SSU rRNA
Rfam family: Bacterial small subunit ribosomal RNA
Source: RNAcentral
ACGAACGCUGGCGGCAGGCUUAACACAUGCAAGUCGAGCGAGACCUUCGGGUCUAGCGGCGGACGGGUGAGUAACGCGUGGGAACGUGCCCUUUGCUACGGAAUAGCCCCGGGAAACUGGGAGUAAUACCGUAUGAGCCCCUUGGCCUUGGCGGUCUUGGGGGAAAGAUUUAUCGGCAAAGGAUCGGCCCGCGUUGGAUUAGGUAGUUGGUGAGGUAACGGCUCACCAAGCCGACGAUCCAUAGCUGGUUUGAGAGGAUGAUCAGCCACACUGGGACUGAGACACGGCCCAGACUCCUACGGGAGGCAGCAGUGGGGAAUCUUAGACAAUGGGGGCAACCCUGAUCUAGCCAUGCCGCGUGAGUGAUGAAGGCCUUAGGGUUGUAAAGCUCUUUCAGCUGGGAAGAUAAUGACGGUACCAGCAGAAGAAGCCCCGGCUAACUCCGU